This 292-nucleotide ribosomal RNA is filed under the name uncultured bacterium. RNAcentral's name for it is "partial 16S ribosomal RNA". It matches the Rfam family "Bacterial small subunit ribosomal RNA", at positions 505 to 796 of the family's 1533-position model. The record is from RNAcentral.
GUGUCAGCAGCCGCGGUAAUACGAAGGGUGCAAGCGUUACUCGGAAUUACUGGGCGUAAAGCGUGCGUAGGUGGUUCGUUAAGUCUGCCGUGAAAGCCCCGGGCUCAACCUGGGAAUGGCGGUGGAUACUGGCGGACUAGAGUGCGGUAGAGGGUGGUGGAAUUCCCGGUGUAGCAGUGAAAUGCGUAGAGAUCGGGAGGAACAUCUGUGGCGAAGGCGGCCACCUGGACCAGCACUGACACUGAGGCACGAAAGCGUGGGGAGCAAACAGGAUUAGAUACCCUAGUAGUCC